This 776-nucleotide ribosomal RNA is filed under the name uncultured Acidobacteriota bacterium. RNAcentral's name for it is "bacterial SSU rRNA". It matches the Rfam family "Bacterial small subunit ribosomal RNA", at positions 56 to 812 of the family's 1533-position model. The record is from RNAcentral. Lineage: Bacteria; Pseudomonadati; Acidobacteriota.
UGCAAGUCGAACGCGAAAGUCCCCUUCGGGGACAAGUAGAGUGGCGUCCGGGUGAGUAACACGUAGGUAAUCUACCUUCGGGUGGGGAAUAACGCAGGGAAACUUGCGCUAAUACCGCAUAAUGCAGCGGCACCACAUGGUGACAGUUGUUAAAGCGGGGGAUUUUCGAACCUCGCGCCUGAAGAGGAGCCUGCGGCAGAUUAGCUAGUUGGUAAGGUAAUGGCUUACCAAGGCGACGAUCUGUAACCGGCCUGAGAGGGCGGUCGGUCACACUGACACUGACAUACGGGUCAGACUCCUACGGGAGGCAGCAGUCGGGAAUUUUGGGCAAUGGGCGAAAGCCUGACCCAGCAACGCCGCGUGAAGGAUGAAAUCCCUCGGGAUGUAAACUUCGCAAGAAUGGGAAGAAUGAACGAGUACUAAUACUGCUCGUGAUGACGGUACCAUUUGUAAGCUCCGGCUAACUCCGUGCCAGCAGCCGCGGUAAUACGGGGGGAGCAAGCGUUGUUCGGAUUUACUGGGCGUAAAGGGCGCGUAGGCGGCCAGCACAAGUCAGUUGUGAAAUCUCCGGGCUUAACUCGGAAAGGUCAACUGAUACUGUGCGGCUAGAGUGCAGAAGGGGCAACUGGAAUUCUCGGUGUAGCGGUGAAAUGCGUAGAUAUCGAGAGGAACACCUGCGGCGAAGGCGGGUUGCUGGGCUGACACUGACGCUGAUGCGCGAAAGCAGGGGAGCGAACGGGAUUAGAUACCCCGGUAGUCCUGGCCUUAAACGAUGG